Nothobranchius furzeri (turquoise killifish) is the source of this 84-nucleotide small nucleolar RNA. The record is from Ensembl. Lineage: Eukaryota; Metazoa; Chordata; Actinopteri; Cyprinodontiformes; Nothobranchiidae.
AUCAAAUGAUGCUUUUUCUCACGAUGGUCUUCCUAGCCCUGUGGGCUCUGAUGACAAAGCCUUAAUGGCAAUACUGAUGUGGUC